GAUGAACGCUGGCGGCGUGCCUAAUACAUGCAAGUCGAGCGAACAGAUAAGGAGCUUGCUCCUUUGACGUUAGCGGCGGACGGGUGAGUAACACGUGGGUAACCUACCUAUAAGACUGGAAUAACUCCGGGAAACCGGGGCUAAUGCCGGAUAACAUUUAGAACCGCAUGGUUCUAAAGUGAAAGAUGGUUUUGCUAUCACUUAUAGAUGGACCCGCGCCGUAUUAGCUAGUUGGUAAGGUAACGGCUUACCAAGGCAACGAUACGUAGCCGACCUGAGAGGGUGAUCGGCAACACUGGAACUGAGACACGGUCCAGACUCCUACGGGAGGCAGCAGUAGGGAAUCUUCCGCAAUGGGCGAAAGCCUGACGGAGCAACGCCGCGUGAGUGAUGAAGGUCUUCGGAUCGUAAAACUCUGUUAUUAGGGAAGAACAAAUGUGUAAGUAACUGUGCACGUCUUGACGGUACCUAAUCAGAAAGCCACGGCUAACUACGUG
Molecule: ribosomal RNA, 497 nt
Filed under: uncultured bacterium
Lineage: Bacteria
Description: partial 16S ribosomal RNA
Rfam family: Bacterial small subunit ribosomal RNA
Source: RNAcentral